RNAcentral lists this transfer RNA (74 nucleotides) under Actinomycetota bacterium. RNAcentral describes it as "tRNA-Arg". It matches the Rfam family "tRNA". From Rfam's summary of the family: Transfer RNA (tRNA) molecules are approximately 80 nucleotides in length. Their secondary structure includes four short double-helical elements and three loops (D, anti-codon, and T loops). Lineage: Bacteria; Bacillati; Actinomycetota. The record is from RNAcentral.
GCGCCGGUAGCUCAGGUGGACAGAGCGGCUGCCUUCUAAGCAGCGGGUCGGGGGUUCGAAUCCCUCCCGGCGCA